Molecule: long non-coding RNA, 1381 nt
Organism: Arachis duranensis
Lineage: Eukaryota; Viridiplantae; Streptophyta; Magnoliopsida; Fabales; Fabaceae
Exons: 3
Source: RefSeq, a predicted model, not a curated record
CGUCGUCAUCAAGAGCGUCAGGAGAAAGAGAGAGGGACGAACUCGCGACGGAGAGGGAGGAAGUUGCGCCACGCAGCCGUGGAGCCCGUCACACGUGUCACCACCGUCGGAAGUAGAACCACGAAGAGGAGAGGAAGAACGACGUUGGGAGGAAACUGUGAGCUGCAAGCCGCUGACCGAGAAGAAGCUCUGCCUUUGUCACCGUGUUGGAGUCGUCGCUGCCAACGCCGCGCACCGCCGUUAGCGCUGCCGUUGAAGGGAGCUCGCCGUCACAGUUCAAUCAUCAUUGAGCUUGAAGGGAGGCGCCACUGAAAUACCCGACAGCAGCUUCCCCUGCGUUCCCAAUUCCAUUCUUGAAACUGUAACACUCUUGCUCGUGCUCUGCUUCCCGAUUUUAUUUCUCUACUAUAUUUUCAUUCUGAAUACAAUAGUGUAUGUUCCUGUUUUGUAUUGUUGUCUCCAUCGUCAAUCUGGAUCCUAGUCGACCCCGUCGUUCAUGCCCCUUCGCUGCACCUGUUUCUCUACUGCUAUUAUUUGGAGUACCGGCGUUGAUGCUAUUAUGAAUCUGUUAGAGUUGCUAUUGGGCUGUGAUUGCUCUUAAUUUCCACCCAAUUUGAAUCCUUUGCUUGGUUACAACCCCGAUCACUGCUGUGAUGAUUAACAAUGCUGCUAUUCUGGUUACUGCCUCUGCCGUUCCAGUUGCGUGAGAGUCACUGCUGUUGCCAUGAAACUAAAAGGGAAGGAAGUUGUUACGUUAAGUAUGCGAUUGCGACAUCGAGUGACACAGGUUUGAAGACGCAACUUGAAGCUGCGAGCGAUUAGUAGGUUUUCUUUAUGGUUUAAUUUGGUCUGGUAGAGUCCCCUCGCCGAUUGUCCCUUGAGAUUUUAUUUCAUAUAGAGGGGUAGGUUUGGUAUAUUGUAUUUGAGUUUUAUUUGGUUUCUUUUGUACAAGAAUUAUUAUCAAUAAUAUUUAUGUGAUUAUUGUUUGUUAAAAAUCUUUGAUAUAUGUCUUUAAAGAACAAAAACAAAAUUUUCUGGAAUUUUCUUAAAACUAAGACGCAAACUCGAUACAAAGGCUCAAUAAUUAAGUAGUUAAUACUAGAGAAGGUUACGUAAUGUUCUUUCUAGUAGAAAUACCCUGACUUAAGCAAGGUAUUUUGCUGGAAGGGAUGUUACAAUAUGGUAUCAGAGCAGUCCUUCCUGUAGAGCCUUGGGAGUGGACUGACUAUGCUUCACUGCAUACUCUGAGUGUCUGUCAUGCUUUCUAACUUGUUCUGAUGACAAGAUUUUAUGUUUUAUAUGCAUGACUGUCUAGUGAUUAACGCUAUUAGUUUACCAUUGCAUACCUCAUGGUAUCAAGUUUGGCCAACUUAAUACUAAU